AAGCCUAUCUCCUUUUCCUGGAAACACAAUCAAAUUAACUUUCCAGUCACCGCUGUGUCUAGGUGUGGCCAUAUGAGUAGUUCUCACCAGUGGAAUGUAGUGAAAACGAGAUGCUGUCUCUUAGGGACUAAGGAAGCUAUCUUUCCUCUUCCGACAUUUGCUGACUGGUCGAUGCUAGAUGAUCUUGAGACCCUGUGCUGAGGACUGGAGAACUACAGGAAAGGAGCAGUAUCUCUGAAUUAUCGUGUGGAAGGUCACUUGUCUAGCCCCUGAUGACUGUGAGCCUCUUCCUCCUGCUUGCCACCUCUCAGUCACAAGACGGCUGCUGCGACUCAGGCUCAUGUCCCAAUUCAAGGCAGCAAGAAGGCCAUGGAGCGGCACCUGCCAGCAGAUGCCCCUGCAGGCCAUCUCUCCAGGCUCAGGAACCUAAAGAAGAAUCUACCCAGAUGUGGUGGCUCACACCUGUGAUCCCACCACUUUGGGAGGCUGAGGCAAGAGGAUCACUUGAGCCCAGGAGUUGGAGACCAACGUAGGCAAUACAGCAAGACUCCCAUCUCUACAAAAAAAAAAAAGAAAGAAAGAAAGAAAGAAAAGAAAUUAGCUGGCUGUGGUGCUGCACAUUUGUAAUACCAGCUACUCUAGAGGCUGAGGCUGGAGGAUCACUUGAGCCGAGGAGUGAGCUAUGACCACACCAUUGCAUUUCAGCCUCAGUGACAGAGCAAGGCCCUGCCUCAAAAAAAAAAAAAAAAAAAGAAAAGAA
Molecule: long non-coding RNA, 760 nt
Filed under: Homo sapiens (human)
Lineage: Eukaryota; Metazoa; Chordata; Mammalia; Primates; Hominidae
Description: HSALNT0324111
Source: RNAcentral